GUGUGCUAAGCGGGGAGGUAGCGGUUCCUUUGUCCGUUCUGCGGGCUGCCUGCAAUCCGCUUCAGCAGGGCCGAACUCCUGAGCGAAGGCUUGACGGCAAAAUGCAGGCGCCGACGGAAAAGCGUUGAAGUUCGGGCCCCGCGGGGCGCGCGCCGGUGAACCGGGUCAGGUCCGGAAGGAAGCAGCCCUAAGCCGAUACGAGCGUUUGCGCGGGAUCACCUGGAUGGAGCCGGCCCGUCGGAAGGCCGGUUGGGCCGGAGGGUCGAAGCCAGGUGCACAC
RNAcentral lists this signal recognition particle RNA (280 nucleotides) under Candidatus Lindowbacteria bacterium RIFCSPLOWO2_02_FULL_62_12. RNAcentral's name for it is "signal recognition particle sRNA large type". It matches the Rfam family "Bacterial large signal recognition particle RNA". Rfam says of the family: The signal recognition particle (SRP) is a universally conserved ribonucleoprotein involved in the co-translational targeting of proteins to membranes. Archaeal SRP consists of a 7S RNA and homologues of the eukaryotic SRP19 and SRP54 proteins. Lineage: Bacteria; Candidatus Lindowiibacteriota. RNAcentral also lists the same sequence under 1 other name. The record is from RNAcentral.